Molecule: ribosomal RNA, 253 nt
Filed under: uncultured bacterium
Lineage: Bacteria
Description: partial 16S ribosomal RNA
Rfam family: Bacterial small subunit ribosomal RNA
Source: RNAcentral
UACAGAGGUCUCAAGCGUUGUUCGGAUUCAUUGGGCGUAAAGGGCGCGUAGGCGGCGGGGUAAGUCGGGUGUGAAAUCUCAGAGCUCAACUCUGAAACUGCACUCGAUACUGCUCUGCUUGAGGACUGGAGAGGAGACUGGAAUUCACGGUGUAGCAGUGAAAUGCGUAGAUAUCGGGAGGAACACCAGUGGCGAAGGCGGCCUGCUGGGCAGUUGCUGACACUGAGGCGCGACAGCGUGGGGAGCAAACAGG